This 371-nucleotide ribosomal RNA is filed under the name uncultured organism. Its description in RNAcentral is "partial 16S ribosomal RNA". It matches the Rfam family "Bacterial small subunit ribosomal RNA", at positions 527 to 896 of the family's 1533-position model. The record is from RNAcentral.
GUAGGUGGCAAGCGUUGUCCGGAAUUAUUGGGCGUAAAGCGCGCGCAGGCGGUUCUUUAAGUCUGAUGUGAAAGCCCACGGCUCAACCGUGGAGGGUCAUUGGAAACUGGAGAACUUGAGUACAGAAGAGGAAAGCGGAAUUCCACGUGUAGCGGUGAAAUGCGUAGAGAUGUGGAGGAACACCAGUGGCGAAGGCGGCUUUCUGGUCUGUAACUGACGCUGAGGCGCGAAAGCGUGGGGAGCAAACAGGGUUAGAUACCCUGGUAGUCCACGCCGUAAACGAUGAGUGCUAAGUGUUAGGGGGUUUCCGCCCCCUUAGUGCUGCAGCUAACGCAUUAAGCACUCCGCCUGGGGAUACGGCCGCAAGGCUG